UACUCGAUUAGUUAUUGUCAGAAAUUUUCAUGACGCGUCGGACGCGUCAAAAUACGUCAAGGGGUUAAAGGGAUUGAGAAAUACGUCUUUUCGAAAUAGCCUUUUCCAGACUUGUCAUCGUUUUUCUGUCCUUGAAUGCCUUUCAUUUAAUUUGAUUUCCGCGGCGUCUACACUUGUAUAGAUUAAGAAAUGUUUUGCAUUCUUCGUGUCUGGCAAUAACAACAGUCGGAGUCAUGUUUGUCAGCAACAGGCUUUUCGUUCGAACGUUCUAUCGCUUUAACUUUAAAGAAAACCAUUGUUAUACCUUAACAACGUUGGGUACUUACGUUCUUUAAAUGUUAAUUAGUAGAAUUGCCAAGUGAAAAAUGUUACUUUGAUGUGAAGAUUUUUAAUAUGCAACUGUAGCAUAUUUAUAGCUAGACUAUGGAUCCUUAUGCAAAAUAAAAAUUGUCAUUAAUUAUAAGAAACCUAAGUUCGAUGUCUUUUCUCUUAUUAGCAAUUGCAGCAAGUUCUCGAAUUCUUUUAAAGCUCUUAAAGGAGUUUCGUAUUCGAUCUGUUCAUUUUUAUCAUAAAUGCAUAAAAUCUGUGCUCUAUUUAUAACACAACGUGAGAAUGUUAUCAGAAAUUAUCUUCCUUAUAUCUGUCGGACGAUAUUUCGAAUUAUCACGGUAUUAACUUUCGAGAUCCAUCAAACGGUGCUUUACAUUUCACGUUAUUGCACGUACUCGGAACAGCUACAUCGAUGAAUAUUGAAUACACCUCGUCACGUUUUGCGUUACUAAUUAAUUCAUAACACUAGGUAUAAUCACUGACACGUUAAUUAGUUUACGAGCGACAGAAGUCAUGUUUAAACAUUCAUUUUACGCGACAGUAAAUAAUUUCUUGUAAUAUAUUGUUGAAAAUUUGUUGGAAGAAUCGGUCAACUUGCAUCAAGAAUUUCCAUCUUUUUUCGCUCGUUAGUUAUAUUAAAAAUUAAGCAUUUUGUAGAUCGCGUUCACUUUUUUUCACUGCAUAUUAAUCCUUUCGUAGAUCAUAUACACUGUUCAUGGAUUAAUAAAUAAUUAUUGGAGAUGAAUUAUCUGUAAUGACAUUUUAUCAAUAAACAUAUCGCAUUCGCAUUAAAAAAUUGAAUAAAAGACGGACAAUUUUCAUGUGUGGAAAGGUUAAUUUUAUUUGCAAAAAGGGCGAGCACGGUCUACAAAAAGGAUGAAUUUUUCGUGCAAAACCUUCAUAACACCGCUAAGCGAAUAUUGCGAACGCAAUAUUCGGAUGCCCUGGAAAUGUGCUAAUUAUGUUACACGUAAUCGAUACUUGCCUCACGUAAUAUGGAUUUUCCACUAAUUAAUACCUUCGAUUAUAUAUACUCAUCAUUUGCAGUAUGCCAUUCAGGUUGCCCGGAUUAAACGUGCGAUUUCCAACAGUAGAAAUUUCCGAACCAGAAGCAAAUUGGAUGUAAGCGUCGUGUAAUUACGAUAGUGCGAUGAGAAUACUCUAAUACGUAUUAAUUGAGGGAUCGUUUGGAUGCCGAUAGACACUUCUUGCAAUUUUGCAAAAUCGAUGGAAUCGAGAAUGCAGGGCGAAUUGAGUUUCGUUAGGAACAUUGUUAAAAAAUACUUCAUACUAAUUACAGUAGAGGGUGGUCGGAGAUUUUUUACGAUUCGUACCCGCUGAAACCCCUGUGGCGACCAACCUCGGAACCGCAAAGGAGGGCCCGGGAACUUUUACGAACGCAUCCGGUGCGUCCACGUGCAUACACUACCAUUCAAAAGUAUCCGGACACUUAUUCGUUAGCCGACGUCACCGAAAUAUCUUGCAAAUGGAUUGUUCAAAAUAGUUUCUAAUUAUAAUGCGAUUAAUCUGUUUGACAAUAGUUCUUUUAUAACCGUCAAAAACUACAAUAAUGUAAGACGUUCUUUUGACAUUAUUAUUUAAAAGAAGAUUACCGAGCUUCUCUUAGAUCACAGUUCAGCCAUCGAAAAGCUUGUUAGUAAGCAUCCAGUAAAAAGAAGUGUUAAAAUUGACGCCUGAGAUAAAUCGUUUUAUUUAUCAUUGUAUUUUUAAGGUUGACAAACGCGAGAUGAGAACGUUGCUAAUUAAAAUUAUGGGACGAAACAACUGGAAAUGUUAGAGCCAUGCGUUCAAGAUCUGAAAAAACAGCUGUAGAGAUUAAUAUAAUUGAACGAAAUAUAACAUAAAUAUUUAAUCGGAUAUAAAUUGGAGAAGAGAUUAAACUCAGAUUUCCAUGGAAGAAUCUGUUUCCAAGAGAAUCUGAAUAUUCAUCGGACACGCAUGCGUAAGCAUUUACAAGGAGAUGUUGCAAAUCAUGGUCAGACAUGUUAGUCGAUACCUGGGCAGUAGCCACGGAUACUUGACGAAUAUAUGAGGCGUUUAUAAACGCAUGUAUGCGGUAAUCGUUGGAAUUUUGCUAGGUGUCCGGAUACUUAUGAAGGGUAGUGUAUCUGCAAUAUAACCCAUCGUCUAACAUUAGUGUGUGGGAUCAAUUGCAGACAGAGUGGAGCAAUAGAAACAAAUGAGACUAUAACAAACAGCGCAUAAUGUACGAGAUUGAUCUCAGGAUACGAUCGCUAUGCAUUCUGCUUUAGCUAAGUAUAAAUGGAAACGUGAAACAGAAUUUGCAAACGUAUACCAGAUGCAUUCGGUUUUCUUCAAACGAAACCGAACGCUAGGUUUACGAGGUACUAAAAAAUGCUAUUUUAUAUUGCUUUGUGAAUAUAACAAGCACAUAUUUGUUCACAUUUGUAGCGACUUUUAUUGUAAUAUACGCUCACCGACGGAAGUUAUAUUUCUCAAUAUUUUGGCUUCGAAGAUAAAUAUACGAAGUAAUGAAGAUGAAGAGAAGUAAAACAAAAACUACGAAAUUAAAAUAAGAAUCGAACGAUUCUAAAUGAAUAAAAUUAAUAUCUUCGUUGACGCGAUACAAUUUGUAUCCUGUGCAGAAGGUUUCCUAUACUCAAAAAUGUGCAUCUGUGUAUGCACAUCUGUGUAUGCCCGACGAAACAGAUUCGUUGAAUAAAUUCUUACUAAAUGUAUCUUUAUAAUAUUAAUAAUCGUAAAUCAAAGAAUGUUUAACGUGUUGAAUAGACGGGUUCUGUAAACCUAGUUGUUAAAGUCUGCUUUCGUAUGACAAAUAAUUUCACCCUGAUUCACACAUACAAAAUUCCACCGUACGCUCGCAAUGAAAGUAACACGCUUUAAUCGAAGACGAUAUCUACGACAUCCGUCAAUUAAGUAUUUGAUCAGUAAACAUCGGUUGAUAACUAGAUAGAUCGAUAAAUGGUAGCGAAGGAAAAGCGUCGCGGUCAAUAGAUUAUUUUUACGAGCCAUUUUUAGUAUCGAUUCGAUACCGUAUUUACCGAGCGAGUGUUCCGAGAAUUUGAUGUUCUGUUUUAAUCGAUGAUAAUAUUAAUGGCGGUUGGAAACGAUGAAAAUUUGCUAGCCUGUUUUCUCGCGAACAACAAUUGCGUGUACCUACGUGCGGUACCGUACACCGUUAUACAUCGUCGAGCCGAUUUCCCAUUAGUAAAUAAGCUUUCGGGAUUGGUCUUUUAUUUUUAGAUCAACUUUUAUACACCCAAGGUUGUGGCAUCUGUUAAUCUAUAAAUAAGUCGCUCGGAAAUUCCUUUUUCACCGAUGUAUCGAUUCGUCCUACGAGCUUUCGAUUCACCGGCUAUAAAUGUGUUAACGUUGCUCUUGUUUGGCUCCGUGAGAACGGAAACGUGAAUGGAUUUCAUGAACCAGCUCGGCAAAUCGGUAAUCCCAUAACUUCGAUUAGGUAGACUUACCAAUGCGAUCUUAUUAACACUUUAUUUACUGGAAACCUAUCGGUAAGCUUUUUAACGACCGAAUUAUUCCUAAAAGAAGCUGAAUAAUCGUUUUAAAACACGUUAUUGCAUCAUAUUAAUUCACAUAAUUUGUUGAAUUAUGAGUUAGAUCGUUGUCGCUUUCGUGCUAUUUAUUAAGAAAUACUCAACCGUUUUAUUAUGUUAUGCAAUCAAAAGAUAGACCAUUGUUAUCUUGCACGAAGAUUUGCGAAUUUAGUAAAUAACGUCCGAGUUAUACAAAUGUUCCAGUAGUAGAAAAUUACGAACGAAACAAUUAUCCAGAUUUAUAUGAAAUAGUAA
Non-coding RNA from Megalopta genalis, 4142 nucleotides. The record is from RefSeq and is a predicted model, not a curated record. NCBI's taxonomy places the organism in Eukaryota, Metazoa, Arthropoda, Insecta, Hymenoptera, Halictidae.